AACGCAAUUGCCCCGCAAGGGGCGGUUGAGUGGCGAAUGGGUGCGUAACACGUAGGUGACCUGCCCGGAAGUGGGGAAUAACAGUCCGAAAGGACUGCUAAUACCGCAUGUGGUGCGUGGGUUUUGAAGCCGCGUACCAAAGGUUUCCGCAAGGAAGCCGCUUUCGGAGGGGCCUGCGGCCCAUCAGCUAGUUGGUAGGGUAACGGCCUACCAAGGCGACGACGGGUAGGGGACCUGAGAGGGUGACCCCCCACACUGGCACUGACACACGGGCCAGACUCCUACGGGAGGCAGCAGUCGGGAAUAUUGCACAAUGGACGAAAGUCUGAUGCAGCAACGCCGCGUGCGCGAUGAAGGCCUUCGGGUCGUAAAGCGCUUUUCGGGUGGAUGAGAGAGGACAGUACACCCGGAAUCAGGAACGGCUAACUACGUGCCAGCAGCCGCGGUAAAACGUAGGUUCCGAGCGUUAUCCGGAUUUACUGGGCGUAAAGCGCGUUCAGGCGGUUUGGCAAGUCGGGCAUGAAAUCCUUCGGCUCAACCGGGGGAGGUUGUCCGAUACUGCUGAACUGGAGGGCAGUAGAGGGUGGUGGAAUUCCGGGUGUAGUGGUGAAAUGCGUAGAGAUCCGGAGGAACACCAGUGGCGAAAGCGG
This 650-nucleotide ribosomal RNA is filed under the name uncultured soil bacterium. RNAcentral describes it as "bacterial SSU rRNA". It matches the Rfam family "Bacterial small subunit ribosomal RNA", at positions 65 to 724 of the family's 1533-position model. The record is from RNAcentral.